Solanum tuberosum (potato) is the source of this 1125-nucleotide long non-coding RNA. RefSeq lists it as uncharacterized. The transcript is spliced from 3 exons. The record is from RefSeq and is a predicted model, not a curated record. Lineage: Eukaryota; Viridiplantae; Streptophyta; Magnoliopsida; Solanales; Solanaceae.
UUGAAGCUCAACUGCACAAUUGCUUUAAUUGGAUAAUUAAGCUUAACCGUUAAUGUAGUUGAUUGAAUUGGACAAAUGUACAUAGAUGAGAUGAAAUGUUGUGAGUUCUUUCAUCAAACAUGUAUCUUUCUUUUUUUCCCUUCUUUUUUGUCUUUCAGCAUGAAUGUUGAUGGAUGCAAUGUUGUUCAUUGGAAUCAAUGCUGCCAUAAGGUAAUUAAGUCUAAAAGCUUGUACAAAAAUGUACUCCAUUUGUUUUUGAGUUUGUUUUAAUGCAUCGUCGCUCUUUCAGCGUUCGAGUCUCAAAUGAGCUUGGGCUAGGUCGGCCCAUGGCUACCAAAUAUAGUGUAGUAUUUCAAUCAAUCCUCAUUGGGAUACUCUACUGGCUGUAAGAAAUCAUCUGGCCAUUCUUUUCACAAACAGCAAGGAUUUGCAAUGAGCUGUUGCUGACCUUGCUUGGCUUCUCGGAAUAACCAUGGUUCUUAGCAGUGUUAACAGGUGUUGCUAUUGGAGGUGGAUGGCAAGGUCUAGUGGCUUAUAUCAAUUUGAGAUCUUACUAUGUUUUUGGUAUUCCUCUAGGAUAUACGAUUGGUUAUGUCUCUAACCUUAACCUUGGAGUCGUGGUAAAUAAACUCAUUCUAAAAGUUACAAACAUUAAGUAUAUCAAAGUUUAAUCUCACACUGCAUUUGUAAACAUCUUUUAUAGGAAACACUUCGUUUUAGUAUCUCACAACUUUUUUUAACCUAAAAACAUUAUGACAGAAAUUCAAUUUAUCCGAAUUAUGGAUUAUAUCUUGCAAGGUCUAUGGGGAGGAAUGAUAGCAGGACUUGCUUUACAGACACUGCUACUCUCAUUUGUACUCUAUAGAACUGAUUGGAAUAAAGAGGUUUAGCAGUCUGUAGAGCACCUACGCAAGUGGGGAGGUCAAGACUUUGAAUCUGAGAAAACUAUUACAAUUUCAGAGCCUACGAAGGCCUUACCAUAAGAGUAUGAUUUUUCAGUGACAUCAAAGGAUGAAAGGUCUUCAUCUUUGUUUUUGUUAACCAGUUAAUGAUAUAGUAUCUACAUGUUGUGAAUAAAGUGGAGCCUAAAUCCAUGUCAGAUGCCACGGUGGAUGACAGCUAGGC